This 72-nucleotide transfer RNA is filed under the name Mycobacteroides abscessus subsp. abscessus. RNAcentral's name for it is "tRNA-Lys(ttt)". It matches the Rfam family "tRNA". From Rfam's summary of the family: Transfer RNA (tRNA) molecules are approximately 80 nucleotides in length. Their secondary structure includes four short double-helical elements and three loops (D, anti-codon, and T loops). Further hydrogen bonds mediate the characteristic L-shaped molecular structure. tRNAs have two regions of fundamental functional importance: the anti-codon, which is responsible for specific mRNA codon recognition, and the 3' end, to which the tRNAs corresponding amino acid is attached (by aminoacyl-tRNA synthetases). tRNAs cope with the degeneracy of the genetic code in two manners: having more than one tRNA (with a specific anti-codon) for a particular amino acid; and 'wobble' base-pairing, i.e. permitting non-standard base-pairing at the 3rd anti-codon position. The record is from RNAcentral. Lineage: Bacteria; Bacillati; Actinomycetota; Actinomycetes; Mycobacteriales; Mycobacteriaceae.
UGGGCGUUGGUGAAACGGCAUCACCCCGAGCUUUUACCUCGUGUGUUGAGGGUUCAAAUCCCUUGCGCCCUA